UGGGGAAUAUUGCACAAUGGAGGAAACCCUGAUGCAGCGACGCCGCGUGAGCGAUGAAGGCUUUCGAGUCGUAAAGCUCUGUCCUAUGGGAAGAUAAUGACGGUACCAUAGAAGAAAGCCCCGGCUAAUUACGUGCCAGCAGCCGCGGUAAUACGUAAGGGGCGAGCGUUGUCCGGAAUUAUUGGGCGUAAAGAGUGCGUAGGCGGCAAAUUAAGUCAGAUGUGAAAACUAAGGGCUCAACCCAUAGAUUGCAUCUGAAACUGAUAUGCUUGAGUCAAGGAGAGGAAAGUGGAAUUCCUAGUGUAGCGGUGGAAUGCGUAGAUAUUAGGAGGAAUACCGGUGGCGAAGGCGACUUUCUGGACUUGAACUGACGCUGAGGCACGAAAGCGUGGGGAGCAAACAGG
This 404-nucleotide ribosomal RNA is filed under the name Verrucomicrobiota bacterium. RNAcentral describes it as "Verrucomicrobia bacterium partial 16S ribosomal RNA". It matches the Rfam family "Bacterial small subunit ribosomal RNA", at positions 355 to 776 of the family's 1533-position model. The record is from RNAcentral. Lineage: Bacteria; Pseudomonadati; Verrucomicrobiota.